AUCCCUUACAAUAAUACACCAGGCCUUCCUUGCUGCUCUCUCACUAAUCCCUCCUCUUCGUUCUCUUUGAGAUUUGCCUGUCUGCAGAGGUCAUGAAUUCUGGACUCCUCUCUUGCUGCGGGUAGGCAGCUUUCCCCUGCAGGGUACCAGCUUCUGUUAUCCUGGCAUGCCAAGAAAAGAAGAAAUCAAUUCAGAGCCAGCUAUAAAGUUUCUGGGCCCAACUCAAGACACCAGAUUGAAAUGUUCGUAAAAUAAGAGACUCCUUUUUAUGAAUCACAGUUACUACUACAGUUAUGAACAUCAGCAAACACCCCAAAAACCUGCAGCCUGAAGCCAUGGUUUGAGGAACUGAGGAUCCUGUAAGAGGCGGACAGCAGGGAACUCUCCGCACACCAGGUCUUCACUGAUGCCCAAGUACAAUGUGUUUAUUCCAUUAAAGAAAACAAACUUAAGGAAGACAGUAAAUACCAGCAACAGCAGAAUAGGGAUUCUCUGAUGGGUCCAGACAGAUGUUUCUUUGUGCACAUUUAUAGGAAACCUACAAUUGCCUUUCUGUCCUUUCCAAACACCUAACUUAAAAAUCUCGUCCUUCAGGCUAUUAAAUGUGCUGGUACCAUCCUUACUAGGAUGUAUUCAUGCCAUUAUGAAGUUAAUGUGUUCUAACACUAACAGUACAUUAUUUAUCAAGGUGGAAAUGAAAUGGAGAGCAGAGGAAUGUGUCUAGAUAUGAAGUUCUCCAUCAUUCUUUGAAAGGAAGAUGUGUUUUUGGGUCCUCCUGUUUCUUUUAUGACUCAUAAUACAUGCAUCCAUGCAUGCACACUUUAUAACCAAUGCUAUAUGCAGCAUUUUAGGCAGGAAGACCACCAUGAACAAAGGCACUGAGGAGGGCUGAGUUCACUCUACGUUGAAGGUUAAGAUGCCUGGUGUGAAUGAAGCCAAACAUUUGUACUGAGUAGUCACAGGAAAUAAAGUCAAAGGGUAAGAUUUUGCCAGAUUUCAGAGGACAUCAAAAUCCAAAGAGAGUGCAAUUUUAUUUAACAGGCAGCAGACAGAUGGUACAGAUUCACAAUAACAUGAAACGGUUUAGAAUGUAAAAUCAUACCAUGGUAUAUGAUUGUGGUGUGGUUGUGGGGAGAAGGGAGGAUGAGAUAUACUAGUAAUUGUCUGGGAGGUUGCUGCCAGCAUCAAGCAUGCAGCAUCAAGCAUGAUAUCAGUGGGACUGAGGGAGAAAGUGCAAAUGUGGUAUCUUAAAGGGAGAAAUGUAGGUGGGAACUGUGAUAGCGUAGGUAUAAGGCAAAAAGGCAAGAAAAGGUUCCUGAUGCCGAGAUCCAACAGCACUCCAUUUAAGUAAGUUAUUAUCAGUUACUGUGCCCUUCUCUGGU
Callithrix jacchus (white-tufted-ear marmoset) is the source of this 1382-nucleotide non-coding RNA. The record is from RefSeq and is a predicted model, not a curated record. NCBI's taxonomy places the organism in Eukaryota, Metazoa, Chordata, Mammalia, Primates, Cebidae.